This 460-nucleotide ribosomal RNA is filed under the name Vibrio parahaemolyticus. RNAcentral describes it as "bacterial SSU rRNA". It matches the Rfam family "Bacterial small subunit ribosomal RNA", at positions 338 to 795 of the family's 1533-position model. Lineage: Bacteria; Pseudomonadati; Pseudomonadota; Gammaproteobacteria; Vibrionales; Vibrionaceae. The record is from RNAcentral.
CCUACGGGCGGCUGCAGUGAGGAAUAUUGGUCAAUGGACGCAAGUCUGAACCAGCCAUGCCGCGUGCAGGAAGACGGCUCUAUGAGUUGUAAACUGCUUUUGUACGAGGGUAAACUCACCUACGUGUAGGUGACUGAAAGUAUCGUACGAAUAAGGAUCGGCUAACUCCGUGCCAGCAGCCGCGGUAAUACGGAGGAUUCAAGCGUUAUCCGGAUUUAUUGGGUUUAAAGGGUGCGUAGGCGGUUUGAUAAGUUAGAGGUGAAAUCCCGGGGCUUAACUCCGGAACUGCCUCUAAUACUGUUAGACUAGAGAGUAGUUGCGGUAGGCGGAAUGUAUGGUGUAGCGGUGAAAUGCUUAGAGAUCAUACAGAACACCGAUUGCGAAGGCAGCUUACCAAACUAUAUCUGACGUUGAGGCACGAAAGCGUGGGGAGCAAACAGGAUUAGAUACCCCAGUAGUC